GUGGUAUGAGAUGGAGAUGCGUUUCAUUAGGUAGUUGGUGAGGUAACGGCUCACCAAGCCGUCGAUCAGUAGCCGUCCUGAGAGGGUGAUCGGCCACAUUGGGACUGAGACACGGUCCAAACUCCUACGGGAGGCAGCAGUGGGGAAUAUUGGUCAAUGGGCGCUAGCCUGAACCAGCCAAGUAGCGUGAAGGAUGAAGGCUCUAUGGGUUGUAAACUUCUUUUAUAUAAGAAUAAAGUGCAGUAUGUAUGCUGUUUUGUAUGUAUCAUAUGAAUAAGGAUCGGCUAACUCCGUGCCAGCAGCCGCGGUAAUACGGAGGAUCCGAGCGUUAUCCGGAUUUAUUGGGUUUAAAGGGAGCGUAGGUGGACUGGUAAGUCAGUUGUGAAAGUUUGCGGCUCAACCGUAAAAUUGCAGUUGAUACUGUCAGUCUUGAGUACAGUAGAGGUGGGCGGAAUUCGUGGUGUAGCGGUGAAAUGCUUAGAUAUCACGAAGAACUCCGAUUGCGAAGGCAGCUCACUGGACUGCAACUGACACUGAUGCUCGAAAGUGUGGGUAUCAAACAGG
Molecule: ribosomal RNA, 564 nt
Filed under: uncultured bacterium
Lineage: Bacteria
Description: bacterial SSU rRNA
Rfam family: Bacterial small subunit ribosomal RNA
Source: RNAcentral